Humulus lupulus (European hop) is the source of this 2110-nucleotide long non-coding RNA. RefSeq lists it as uncharacterized. NCBI's taxonomy places the organism in Eukaryota, Viridiplantae, Streptophyta, Magnoliopsida, Rosales, Cannabaceae. The record is from RefSeq and is a predicted model, not a curated record. The transcript has 2 exons.
CUGGAUUUUCUACCAUCCCGUUCUAGCUCACCAUGUCGUGAUGAAGGUAGUCGGCCCUAUUAACAGUGUUACCCUCCAACAAUGUAAAGAUUCACUGGUACCCCAAUAUGACUAUAGUUUCGCACUAGAUACCAUUUUAUGGAUAACACAUUUAGUUUAAGGAAUGGGAAGCUCAUCAAAUAUGGUACCAAUAUUUGAGUUGAGUCCCAUCGCUCUCCAAAUAAUCUAUUCCCUAUCUAAAUCUUUAAAAUAUACGAGUCUACGUUAGAUGACAACCCUGUUAAUGAAUCGUUGCCCCCAUUGUACCUCCUGGCAUAAUUGUGAUAGACUCUUUCUCUAGUUUGAAGGGUAGGGCUACAAACUUAUUGGUAUGUUUUCCAUAUUUUAAGUUAUUUCUUUAUAACAUUUUUCUUAUUCUGUGCAAAAGAAGAUAUGUUCAAUUUGAAAGGCACAAUUACCAUCUCCGGCCCCACCAUCAAAAGACAGAGGAUCCCCAAGAAGACUUUCAGCUCUAGACUUGGAGGCACAUAAGCAGGGAACCAGGGUGCGGUCAUCACUAGCUCAUUCGUGUGAAUGAAAGGCAAGGUGAUUACUCUCGAUGUCCAAACCCCUUAACACACAAAGAAAAGGUCCUCUCAUUAAUACUUAUCUCACUCUGCCUCCAGUUCCUCGAGCUAUCCUCGUCCUAUCCAAGUUUCUAGAUUAUCAUCAGGGCUCGACCUGAGUACUUGUAAAUAAUGUCCAGAGACACAUUGAGAAACUAGCUAAAAGGGAGCUCAAUAUACUCGAGGAAGCUCAUCCCACAGAUAUUUACAACCAUGCAUUCAAGAUGAACUUGACUAUAGGUAUCCUUCGUAUGUCAAUGUGCAGUCAUCACCAGCUUGUAAGGUGGAAAUAAAGGAUGGUCCUCUCGUCAAUACUUAUCCCACACCACCUCUAUUUCGUUGAGUUAUCCUCGAUUUAUCCAAGUUUCCCGAUUAAGAUUAGUGCCCGCUUUGAAUACUUGUAAAUAAUUUCCAUGGACACAUUGAGCCACUAACUGAAAGGGAACUCUAUAGACUCGAGGAAGCUCAUCCCACAAAUAUUUACAACCAGACAUUCAAUGUGAACUUGACUUCUUUCAUGCCUUAGAUCAGGGCCAAAGAUAAAAUGUGAGCUCAGUAGAUGGACGCUGAACACAAAAUAGUUCAACUUGAGGUAGACCUGAAGAGAGCCAUUGAGGUGCUCGACAUGACUUUAGAGAAUGAGAAGAGAGUGUGCUCUUGAAAUUUUUAAUGCUCCGGACGCUUUCAACACUAAACUGAGGUAGAAUCCUUCAAAAAGUCACAUGAGGCAGAGGUUGAGUCCCUCAGGAAGUCAAAUGAGGCUGAGGUGGAAAAAUCGGUUGAAAAAGUAUUCUACCACGUCUGUUCCUUCAACAAAGAAUUUGGUAAUUCUUUCCUCAGAGAUGAGAUUUUUAUCCCUUAUAUGGCCAAGUUCAAAGAGUGUUUUGCUGAGGUGUUCCUGGAGACCAUUGAGAAUGGAGUUUCUAAGGAGUGUGGGGUGGACGAGGUUUCAUCCAAGAAGGCCUAAUCCAGAAUUGAUGUCAUGGUUUUUUAUUUUUUAUUUUACAUAUAUUUAUUAUGGGGCCAAGACAAUUACUUUUACUUUUAACAUGUCCAUGGAGGUCAAGACAACGGAGGUUUUAAUCCUCCUUUAUUUUGUUUAUUUUAGCUCCUGUUAUACAAGUUUCAAUUUAGCUCGUCCCAUAUACUAACUUGUGUUAGCUCGAAUUAUGACAAACUUCUAACAUCCCUUAAAAAACUUUAUUCGCUAUUUUGAGAUGUUAAUAGUCGUUGGUAUUUAGGUUUAUGUAAUUUUCUUUAAGCUUUCUUUUUAUAUUCAGGUUUGAACUUUAAUUUGCUCUAAAUAUCGUGGGAACUAAGUAUCAUUUGAUUUUUUUUUUAUUUUCCUUGCGUUUUAUCAGUUUAGUUUAAUUAGUUAUAAAUGGUAUAGUGGGCUAUCCCCAUAUUUCCCCUCAAGCGAUGAAAUACUUAAGAAUAUUCUAGAUCAAUUAUUUUAGGUUUGAACAAAAUAUAUUUAGAUAAAAUGAUUCCAUGUUUAAACUACA